This 253-nucleotide ribosomal RNA is filed under the name uncultured bacterium. RNAcentral's name for it is "partial 16S ribosomal RNA". It matches the Rfam family "Bacterial small subunit ribosomal RNA", at positions 524 to 776 of the family's 1533-position model. The record is from RNAcentral.
UACGUAGGGGGCGAGCGUUGUCCGGAGUUACUGGGCGUAAAGCGCACGCAGGCGGUUCUGCGCGUUUGGGGUUACAGCUCCCGGCUCAACCGGGAGAGCGCCUCGAAGACGGCAGCACUUGAGGGCCAGAGAGGGACACGGAACUCCGGGUGGAGUGGUGAAAUGCGUAGAUAUCCGGAAGAACACCAAAGGCGAAGGCAGUGUCCUGGCUGGUACCUGACGCUCAGGUGCGAAAGCUAGGGGAGCGAACGGG